Molecule: ribosomal RNA, 451 nt
Filed under: uncultured bacterium
Lineage: Bacteria
Description: partial 16S ribosomal RNA
Rfam family: Bacterial small subunit ribosomal RNA
Source: RNAcentral
AACGAACGCUGGCGGCAGGCCUAACACAUGCAAGUCGAACGGGUGUAGCAAUACAUCAGUGGCGCACGGGAGAGUAACGCGUGGGAACCUACCUUUUGGUUCGGAAUAACGUCGGGAAACUGACGCUAAUAACGGAUAAGCCCUACGGGGGAAAGAUUUAUCGCCGAAAGAUGGGCCCGCGUUAGAUUAGCUUGUUGGUGAGGUAACGGCUCACCAAGGCUACGAUCUAUAGCUGGUCUAAGAGGAUGAUCAGCCUCACUGGGACUGAGACACGGCCCAGACUCCUACGGGAGGCAGCAGUGGGGAAUCUUGGACAAUGGGGGCAACCCUGAUCCAGCCAUGCCGCGUGAAUGAUGAAGGCCUUCGGGUUGUAAAGUUCUUUUGGCGGGGACGAUGAUAACGGUACCCGCAGAAUAAGCUCCGGCUAACUUCGUGCCAGCCGCCGCAGUAA